UGGGGAAUAUUGGACAAUGGGCGCAAGCCUGAUCCAGCCAUGCCGCGUGAGUGAUGAAGGCCCUAGGGUUGUAAAGCUCUUUCAGCGGGGAAGAUAAUGACGGUACCCGCAGAAGAAGCCCCGGCUAACUUCGUGCCAGCAGCCGCGGUAAUACGAAGGGGGCUAGCGUUGCUCGGAAUCACUGGGCGUAAAGCGCACGUAGGCGGAUCGUUAAGUCGGGGGUGAAAGCCCGGAGCUCAACUCCGGAACUGCCUUCGAUACUGGCGAUCUUGAGUCCGGGAGAGGUGAGUGGAACUGCGAGUGUAGAGGUGAAAUUCGUAGAUAUUCGCAAGAACACCAGUGGCGAAGGCGGCUCACUGGCCCGGUACUGACGCUGAGGUGCGAAAGCGUGGGGAGCAAACAGG
This 404-nucleotide ribosomal RNA is filed under the name uncultured bacterium. Its description in RNAcentral is "bacterial SSU rRNA". It matches the Rfam family "Bacterial small subunit ribosomal RNA", at positions 355 to 776 of the family's 1533-position model. The record is from RNAcentral.